AGAAGAUCCCUUAUAAUAAUAAAGAAAGUUAAGUUUCGCUCUUAGAAGUUUGUAUCUCGUGUGUGGUAGUAGUUAGGAUUAAAAGCCUAACUAGCUAUACGCACGUAGUCGUAACUGAAAGGUUGAUCGACCACAGUGGGCCUGAAGAAAGCCCAUGACGAUUGUCACAGCAGUGAGGAAUAUUGGUCAAUAGCCUAACGGCUGAACCAGCAACUUGGAGGAAUGUAUAGCAAUAGCUACUUGCAUCUUUGUAAAUAUGAUGCAAGAUCGACUAUGUCGAAUAAAAUUCUAGGUAGAAUUAUGAUAAUGACAUUGUCUGCCUAUGUGUCUUGACCAAAUUACGUGCCAGCCGUCGCGGUAAUACGUAGAAGACUAGUGUUAUUCAUGUUUAAUCGGUUUAAAGGGUACCUAGACGGUAAAUCAAGCCUACAAAUAAAAGAAAUGAAGGGACUAAUUUGCUAGAGUUACUUGUGAGGGGGUAUUAAAGUACUGCUGGUGUAGAGAUGAAAUUCUGUCAUACCUCUUUUCAAUAGAAAAAUAAUGGCACAGGUAUAGGCGAAGGCAUCCCCUUAUGUGAUAACUGACGUUGAGGGACGAAGGCUUUGUGUAGCGAACAGGAUUAGAUACCCCAGUAGUCAAAGCAGAAAAUGAUGAAUGUCAUAGAUUAGAUAAAUAAGUUUAUUCUAUAAAUGAAAGUGUAAGCAUUCCACCUCAAGAGUAAUUUGGCAACAUUGGAACUGAAAUCAUUAGACCGUUUCUGAAACCAGUAGUGAAGUAUGUUGUUUAAUUUGAUGAUCCGCAAAAAACCUUACCACAAUUUGAAUAUUUAUAUUUUUUUUAUUGUUUUAUUUUUAAGGCAAUAAGAUAUAUUUACAAGCGUUGCACGGCUGUCUUCAGUUAAUGUCGCGAGACUCUGGUUAGUUCCAUGAAAUUAACGUAAACCCUUACUUUAUUUUUAUAUAGAGUAGUUCCCCGCUAUAUUGGAUAUGAUAAC
RNAcentral lists this ribosomal RNA (994 nucleotides) under Bryoria fremontii. Its description in RNAcentral is "SSU rRNA". It matches the Rfam family "Bacterial small subunit ribosomal RNA", at positions 183 to 1149 of the family's 1533-position model. Lineage: Eukaryota; Fungi; Ascomycota; Lecanoromycetes; Lecanorales; Parmeliaceae. The record is from RNAcentral.